CAGUCGCCGCGGGAAUACGAAGGGGGCUAGCGUUGUUCGGAGUUACUGGGCGUAAAGCGCACGUAGGCGGAUAUUUAAGUCAGGGGUGAAAUCCCGCAGCUCAACUGCGGAACUGCCUUUGAUACUGGGUAUCUUGAGUAUGGAAGAGGUAAGUGGAAUUGCGAGUGUAGAGGUGAAAUUCGUAGAUAUUCGCAGGAACACCAGUGGCGAAGGCGGCUUACUGGUCCAUUACUGACGCUGAGGUGCGAAAGCGUGGGGAGCAAACAGGAUUAGAUACCCCCGUAGUCCCUGUCUCUUAUAC
This 301-nucleotide ribosomal RNA is filed under the name uncultured bacterium. RNAcentral's name for it is "partial 16S ribosomal RNA". It matches the Rfam family "Bacterial small subunit ribosomal RNA", at positions 509 to 807 of the family's 1533-position model. The record is from RNAcentral.